RNAcentral lists this transfer RNA (63 nucleotides) under Villorita cyprinoides. RNAcentral's name for it is "tRNA-Gly". It matches the Rfam family "tRNA". From Rfam's summary of the family: Transfer RNA (tRNA) molecules are approximately 80 nucleotides in length. Their secondary structure includes four short double-helical elements and three loops (D, anti-codon, and T loops). The record is from RNAcentral. Lineage: Eukaryota; Metazoa; Mollusca; Bivalvia; Venerida; Cyrenidae.
AUAGUAGUAGUAUAAUUAGUAUAUUUGUCUUCCAAACAAAAGGUCUAGAUUUUAGCUGCUAUA